CAUGCAGUCGAGGGGUAACAGAGGUAGCUUGCUACUUGCUGACGACCGGCGCACGGGUGCGUAACGCGUAUAGAAUCUACCUUAUACUGGGGGAUAGCCUUUGGAAACGAAGAUUAAUACCCCAUAGUAUGUUUGAAUGGCAUCAUUUGGACAUUAAAGUUUCGGCGGUAUAAGAUGACUAUGCGUUCUAUUAGUUUGUUGGUAAGGUAACGGCUUACCAAGACUACGAUAGAUAGGGGUCCUGAGAGGGAGAUCCCCCACACUGGUACUGAGACACGGACCAGACUCCUACGGGAGGCAGCAGUGAGGAAUAUUGGACAAUGGAGGCAACUCUGAUCCAGCCAUGCCGCGUGUAGGAAGACUGCCCUAUGGGUUGUAAACUACUUUUAUAUGGGAAGAAUAAGGUCUACGUGUAGACUGAUGACGGUACCAUAAGAAUAAGCACCGGCUAACUCCGUGCCAGCAGCCGCGGUAAUACGGAGGGUGCAAGCGUUAUCCGGAAUCAUUGGGUUUAAAGGGUCCGUAGGCGGGCAUAUAAGUCAGUGGUGAAAGUCUGUGGCUCAACCAUAGAAUUGCCAUUGAUACUGUAUGUCUUGAAUUAUUGUGAAGUGGUUAGAAUAUGUAGUGUAGCGGUGAAAUGCUUAGAGAUUACAUAGAAUACCGAUUGCGAAGGCAGAUCACUAACAAUAUAUUGACGCUGAUGGACGAAAGCGUAGUAGCGAACAGGAUUAGAUACCCUGGUAGUCUACGCCGUAAACGAUGGAUACUAGUUGUUUGGUUUUCGGACUGAGUGACUAAGCGAAAGUGAUAAGUAU
This 815-nucleotide ribosomal RNA is filed under the name Flavobacteriaceae bacterium ACEMC 12-2. RNAcentral describes it as "bacterial SSU rRNA". It matches the Rfam family "Bacterial small subunit ribosomal RNA", at positions 54 to 867 of the family's 1533-position model. The record is from RNAcentral. Lineage: Bacteria; Pseudomonadati; Bacteroidota; Flavobacteriia; Flavobacteriales; Flavobacteriaceae.